This is a long non-coding RNA of Solenopsis invicta (red fire ant), 1368 nucleotides long. RefSeq lists it as uncharacterized. The record is from RefSeq and is a predicted model, not a curated record. The transcript has 5 exons. NCBI's taxonomy places the organism in Eukaryota, Metazoa, Arthropoda, Insecta, Hymenoptera, Formicidae.
UUUAGCUCAGCAAUAUUACGAUCCGAUUUAAGGCUUUUGCCGAAUUUUGCGGUAAAGUAUAUUAUAUUAACUGCGAGAUCAAUUGUGAGUGUACAGUCUGUGGUGCAAAACACGAGGUGUUUUGGAGGGGGGUUUUGCAUAUAAGUAUUUUAAAACCGGAUUGAAAAUAUAUUCUUACAGGUUCAACAAGGGUUCAACUUCUCAAAAUGCAGAUCUACGUGUUUGCUCUUCUGAUUAUGACUGCGAUCGCUUUCGCAUACCCUACUAAAGAUGAUAUGCCUCUGUCGUUGAUGCUAAAUGAAGACGAAACCUUGAAAUUAAUACCCGUCAAAGAUUUCGAAGAAUACGAUCGCCAACGUAAGUUCACCUGCGAAAUUAAUUGCGCAGUUUACUGUUUGUUCGGAGGAUACAAAGGAGGAUACUGUCAUCACAAUCAAUGUCUUUGCAUGAUACAGUAAGAGAUAUAACGAUAACAAACAAAUGUAGAAGCUCAAGGGUCUUUGCACUAAGUUCCGGUUAAUUUUGAUAAAUUCCGUUUCUUUAAGAAAAGGGGAUUGGAAUUUUACCGAUGGAUAUAAUGUAAAAUUUACGCUUUUUUACAAUUUCGACAUUGCACUAUAAAUUCGUUUAUAAUAAAUAUUCUUCAAACAUUUAAAAUUAAUGUAAUUUCUUGUACAUAUUCUUGAUUAUUCUAUAUUCCUUUAGACGCACAUGUUUAUAAUUUAUACAAAGAAUCCGAUGUGUAACUCGGUUAGCGAUUACAUAUCCCAAAUUUAAAUGCAUUAAAAUUUUCUUUCUAGACAUAUUAAGAUUAUCAUGUAAAUAAUAAAACUUUGCUUUUUAUACAAUUUGCGAAAUAGAAAAAUAAAUAAUGUACUGAUGUAAUUCGAGAUAUUACCAUAAAUUAACUACAACGCAUUUGUAAAAUUUUUCAAGCUAUUGUAGCUAUUACAAUCGAUAGCUGCAACGGUAAACUAGUUGGCACGGUAACAAUUAUGCCACGAUGUUUUCGAAAUUACAAAACUGCAAGAUUGCAAAAAUUCAUGCACCUUGGGCCAUAUGUGCAUUAGACUUAGCAAUAUACGAUCCGAUUAAAGGUCUAGAACUCUUAUAAAAAUUUGCAAUAAAGGAUAUUAUAAUUGCAAGAUCAAACGCGAUAACAACAUAUUUUGAUUUUAUGAUGAAAUUUUCUUUCAUUAUGUUUAGAAACGGCAAGUAUUUUCCAAUGAUAGCCGUUAUAUUUUCACAAUUGUUCCUUCAAGAAAACUGGAUUAAAAAUUUGACCGAUAGAUCUAUUGCGUACAAUUCGCACUUUUUAUUAUAAUUUCAACAUUGUACUACUCGUUUAUAAUAAAUAUUCUUCAAGCA